GACGAACGCUGGCGGCGUGCCUAAUACAUGCCAGUUGAGCGCUGAAGGUUGGUACUUGUACCAACUGGAUGAGCAGCGAACGGGUGAGUAACGCGUGGGGAAUCUGCCUUUGAGCGGGGGACAACAUUUGGAAACGAAUGCUAAUACCGCAUAAAAACUUUAAACACAAGUUUUAGGUUUGAAAGAUGCAAUUGCAUCACUCAAAGAUGAUCCCGCGUUGUAUUAGCUAGUUGGUGAGGUAAAGGCUCACCAAGGCGAUGAUACAUAGCCGACCUGAGAGGGUGAUCGGCCACAUUGGGACUGAGACACGGCCCAAACUCCUACGGGAGGCAGCAGUAGGGAAUCUUCGGCAAUGGACGAAAGUCUGACCGAGCAACGCCGCGUGAGUGAAGAAGGUUUUCGGAUCGUAAAACUCUGUUGGUAGAGAAGAACGUUGGUGAGAGUGGAAAGCUCAUCAAGUGACGGUAACUACCCAGAAAGGGACGGCUAACUACGUG
RNAcentral lists this ribosomal RNA (497 nucleotides) under uncultured bacterium. RNAcentral describes it as "partial 16S ribosomal RNA". It matches the Rfam family "Bacterial small subunit ribosomal RNA", at positions 28 to 507 of the family's 1533-position model. The record is from RNAcentral.